This 492-nucleotide ribosomal RNA is filed under the name uncultured bacterium. Its description in RNAcentral is "partial 16S ribosomal RNA". It matches the Rfam family "Bacterial small subunit ribosomal RNA", at positions 29 to 507 of the family's 1533-position model. The record is from RNAcentral.
AUUGAACGCUGGCGGCAUGCUUUACACAUGCAAGUCGAACGGUAACAGGCCUUCGGGUGCUGACGAGUGGCGCACGGGUGAGUAAUGCAUCGGAACGUACCCAGAGGUGGGGGAUAACGCAGCGAAAGCUGUGCUAAUACCGCAUGUGAUCUGAGGAUGAAAGCGGGGGACCGAGCAGCAAUGUUUGGCCUCGCGCCUUUGGAGCGGCCGAUGUCGGAUUAGCUAGUUGGUGGGGUAAAGGCCUGCCAAGGCGACGAUCCGUAGCUGGUCUGAGAGGACGACCAGCCAAACUGGGACUGAGACACGGCCCAGACUCCUACGGGAGGCAGCAGUGGGGAAUUUUGGACAAUGGGCGCAAGCCUGAUCCAGCAAUGCCGCGUGCGGGAAGAAGGCCUUCGGGUUGUAAACCGCUUUUGGCAGGAACGAAACGGUGUCCGCUAAUACCGGGCGUUAAUGACGGUACCUGCAGAAUAAGCACCGGCUAACUACGUG